Molecule: transfer RNA, 74 nt
Filed under: Tsunamia transpacifica
Lineage: Eukaryota; Rhodophyta; Stylonematophyceae; Stylonematales; Stylonemataceae
Description: tRNA-Arg
Rfam family: tRNA
About the family: Transfer RNA (tRNA) molecules are approximately 80 nucleotides in length. Their secondary structure includes four short double-helical elements and three loops (D, anti-codon, and T loops). Further hydrogen bonds mediate the characteristic L-shaped molecular structure. tRNAs have two regions of fundamental functional importance: the anti-codon, which is responsible for specific mRNA codon recognition, and the 3' end, to which the tRNAs corresponding amino acid is attached (by aminoacyl-tRNA synthetases). tRNAs cope with the degeneracy of the genetic code in two manners: having more than one tRNA (with a specific anti-codon) for a particular amino acid; and 'wobble' base-pairing, i.e. permitting non-standard base-pairing at the 3rd anti-codon position.
Source: RNAcentral
GGGCCUGUAGCUCAGUGGAUUAGAGCACGUGGCUACGAACCACGGUGCCGGGGGUUCGAAUCCCUCCUCGCCCG